GACGAACGCUGGCGGCGUGCUUAACACAUGCAAGUCGAACGGAAAGGCCUUAUCGGAGGUACUCGAGUGGCGAACGGGUGAGUAACACGUGGGUGAUCUGCCCUGCACUCUGGGAUAAGCCUGGGAAACUGGGUCUAAUACCGGAUAGGACCGCACUUUAGUGUGUGUGGUGGAAAGUUUUUUCGGUGUAGGAUGAGCCCGCGGCCUAUCAGCUUGUUGGUGGGGUAAUGGCCUACCAAGGCGGCGACGGGUAGCCGGACUGAGAGGUUGGUCGGCCACAUUGGGACUGAGAUACGGCCCAGACUCCUACGGGAGGCAGCAGUGGGGAAUAUUGCACAAUGGGCGCAAGCCUGAUGCAGCGACGCCGCGUGGGGGAUGACGGCCUUCGGGUUGUAAACUCCUUUCGCCAGGGACGAAGCGUUUUGUGACGGUACCUGGAGAAGAAGCACCGGCUAACUACGUG
Molecule: ribosomal RNA, 463 nt
Filed under: uncultured bacterium
Lineage: Bacteria
Description: partial 16S ribosomal RNA
Rfam family: Bacterial small subunit ribosomal RNA
Source: RNAcentral